GGGCAGGUGACCGAGCGGCUGAAGGUGCAGCACUGGAAAUGCUGUGUACGAUUUUUCGUACCGUGGGUUCGAAUCCCACCCUGUCCG
This 87-nucleotide transfer RNA is filed under the name Phycisphaerales bacterium. RNAcentral's name for it is "tRNA-Ser". It matches the Rfam family "tRNA". From Rfam's summary of the family: Transfer RNA (tRNA) molecules are approximately 80 nucleotides in length. Their secondary structure includes four short double-helical elements and three loops (D, anti-codon, and T loops). Lineage: Bacteria; Pseudomonadati; Planctomycetota; Phycisphaerae; Phycisphaerales. The record is from RNAcentral.